This is a long non-coding RNA of Struthio camelus australis, 1399 nucleotides long. RefSeq lists it as uncharacterized. Lineage: Eukaryota; Metazoa; Chordata; Aves; Struthioniformes; Struthionidae. The record is from RefSeq and is a predicted model, not a curated record.
ACUGUAUCCACUUACAUCAACUGAAGAUGGCCAUCUGUGAGCAAACAAAAAUCUGCUACCCCUUGUAUCUGAAUGAAGAAUUUCGGAUAUCAGUGACUAAAUAAGCUGGCAUUGGUGGUAGAACGUGUGGCAGAGGAGAUUAGUCAAAGGCUGAUGAAACAGAAAGUGCUGCACCUUGAUUUUUUGGGUACCUUUUGGGAUUAUAACUCUUGGCAUUAUUCCAGCUAACAUGGAUCAAAUUACCCGCUGCUUCUGACACUACAAAAUGAAAAAUUAAAGUUGAGAAAGAACAGAAUGGCUUGGAACCAGAAUAGCAAAUUGUAGUAAGAUACCAGCUCUGCUUCUUUCUGGAGCUGAUGAGACCUUAGCAGCCACUUAACUGCCAGUGUCUCUUGCAAGAGCGACAGCAUAAAGAAUAACGGCAAUGGAGAGACAAGGGAGAGUCUGCAAAGCGUGGAAGAAGGAAAGAGAGACCAAAGGGACAACCAGUCUGCAGUCUGCCAUAAUCAAUUCACAAGCUUCUGAUGACUUGUGAGCAUUGCCACAGCCAAGAAGGUUUCCUUGGACUGAUUCAAACCAUCACAGGAGGCUGGUGCUCGGUUUCGUUCAUCUCAAGUCCAGCAAGUUUGUCAGUGGCAGAUUCUCUGCAGUUCCCCAGCUUCCCUUAGUGUGUGAUUGGUGCUUUUCUCUCUCACUCAGGAGAAAUGAAAUGGUACGGAGGGCUUAUUUACUUGCUGCCAUCUAAGAAGAAGGGACAGCAGCAUGGUUAUCUAGGUAGUGAUGACAAACAAUGAAGGGUGAAAUCGGUAUAUUCCUGAAGAGGAGCCAUCAUGGCAGGCCACUUCUGAUAUUCUUGAUGAAGAGUCAAGAUCUUUGGGGGAAAUAUGAAAUUUUAGAGUGGAAAAACUGGAUUUUGUGAAAAUGGCACUUUCUAUUGUAAUGAUUUCCCCGCGAAAAUGCUAACCCUCUCCACUGGCUGGCAAAGUGUUUUGGCUAGUAAGAGAGCAAAGAGAAAUGUCUUCAAAGGUCUGGACAGCAUCAAAGUUAAUUAGAUCUGGAUUCUCUCGGAGCGAUUAUGUGACCUCUCUCUUAGGAUGACACACAAUACCUUAUUUUAUACCAAAGACCCUCCUGGGUAGGAAUGGUCACUGAAAGACCCUUCAUUCUUUGACAAUCCCAGCGCUCAAACUAGAUCUUCCAGCUUUGUGGAGACACUUCACUGAACACUCUUGAAUAUGUGCUAAGAAAGGGAGGUGCUUCUCUCAGGACUCUAAUGCACAGAUUUCCUACAAUGUCUAGUAAUGAUUGUCUCAUUAGCUAGUUACUUUGAAUUCACUGCUAACUCAAGAGAAGCUAAAGCAAAAUGAAUUAUUUGUUUCUAUUAACCAAAAUAGGUACC